GAAAUAUCACAUAGAGUGAGUUUCAUGUGAAUAUUUUAUUCAAAAAUAAACUACUCAUCGCACCAAUAUGUGUUAUCUGUAGGAAGUCUGUAAAAUAAAAUUCUGUACAUCUAGAUUGGUCGGUUGUUUUAUAGUGUUAAGUCAGGGGAAUUCGUGGUUUAAUCCUUGUUGAGCCUACGAACUUGAAUUUCUUAGUCCACGUCAUACCAACAAUUUCUGUCAGGACUCAAAUUUAAUGAUUUAAAAAAAUUGAGACCUAAAAUUUUAUUUUUGAAGAUUGAGGUCGAAAAGUUAAUUUAGCAAUUUGCCAAAAAGGAAAGCCAAACUCUCUUUAUUAGGCAAUUCUAUUCCCUCGUAAAUGCAUAAAAGUGAUCGAAAUUUUAGCGAACAGAAAAAAAAAAAUAAAUAAAUAAAUAAAAUAAAAUAAAUUGUGAUUUUUCCAAUCCCAGCUGCGCAUCUCUUCUUGAGUCAUGGUAAAAUCAUAUUUAAUCCGUUUCAGUUUUCAUAAAUUUUAAAUGUGGAUUAGUUUUUUGAAUUUCGUAUUUCAUUGUUUUUGUCGCAUGCGAAUUUGAUGGUACUUCGGGGAUAUUUGCAUUUUAUAUCUGAAUUACACCUUUCUCUAAUCUGAGUUUUUCCUGCUAUUCGCUUGAUGAUCCUUGGAGGAAAUGAAUGCCGUAAUUAUGAGUAAUGAUUCGUGAAACACUUUUUUAUUUCGCUGGAUGAAUCAUUUUGUAGUUUUUACUCGAGAAUUUGCUAGAUGAAUCAUUAUUGCCUACGAUAAAAGUAAAUAUGUAAUUAUUUAUUUAUUUAUUUAUUUAUUUUUUGUGUGUGUAUGGGUGGGGGUGCGGAAUUACUAGAAUAAUUAAUAUUUAGCACAAGCGCAAAUCAUUUAUUAUUUGCCUUUUGAAUUAUGUAAAUCAGUAAAAGGUAGUUUUCAAUUAUCAACUUAAUUUUGGAAUUUGAUGGAUUUUAUGUUUGUGUUGUAGUUGUCAAUUUGAUAAUAUAACAUUAGAAACUAUGAUGUGUCUCUAAGUAAUAACUAUCGGUUCUUUUAUGUAAAUGCUUUCAUUUGUUUUAACUCUCAAUAUUCAUCAAUUGAUUAAAAUAGAAAAUUUGCAUAUUCCCUUUCCCCGCUGUCUUUCAAGGAUGUUCUUUUAAUGUCCCUUUUACAAAUUUUAUGUAAUAGAAGAUGACACCUUUUAUUUAAAAGCUUUGAUCUUAUAAUUCCAAACCAUGUUUAGACACCUGAACCUCUGCGCAGGGAUAUUAGACAAUUUUACCUGGAAAACAAUGUAUUUAGAUCAUCUGUAAAUUAUCUAUAUUUUGGCAUCUCCAAGUGUAUUUAUUCCAAGUUCUUAGUACUAGAUGAUUUGUUAUUCCUUUUCAUUUGCAGACGACCUCAAGGCGUCUUUGAGAUAGGAAGAUAGAGAAGUUCGAAAAGAACGUAAAGAAGAGAGGGAUGGGGCUUGAAACAACUAAAAAGAAGGGCCAUCCUUAUCCUGUGGGUCCAAUCGUGAUCGGAUUCUUCAUAUUUGUUGUCAUUGGAUCAUGUAAGUUGCUGCCAUCACUCACCCUUAUCUGGAGUUCAUUUUCAAUUUUGUUAUGAGGAUGAUUAAGAGGCAUGCACUUAUCUUCGAAGUGAGAUCCUGGUGGACAAAUCUAUGUAUGCAAACAUGCAUAUUUGUGCCAUUUGCCAAUCGUCCUUUAGAUUUAAAUAAACUUUUAAUUUCUGAAAAUCUUUCUAGAACUUAGAUUACAUUCGAGCUGACAAGCAGUGGUAGCAUUCCAUGGCACGUAGGAGCUAGAGGGGGGAUGGUAGGAACAAGUUAAAGAAAAAAUAGGGCUAGAGUGGAACUACCUAUUAGAUUGUGAGAAUUUGUGCUCUAAGGCUAAUCACGAACCAUACAUGUGGCAAUUCAUUGUUUAAUGAACUCGCUGAUAAAAUCAUUAAUGGAAUUUUUCUAAUUAUUCAAUUUUUUGGCCAAAAUAAAAUUUAUCUCCCCCAAAAUUUAUCAUAUACCAUUUCCCAUUCAGACAUGCAUAAUUGUAUUGUCCUUUCACUAAAAUGUCCUCCCGGCAAUCUAGGCAAAGUUGAUGAGGAAGACUAGAAACUCUCGUCGCUUUGCCUAACUUUGAUGAGAAUCCUUAUGUUGUUCGAAUUUCGCACAACAAGGAAAAGAGCGAUAUUGGUACCACUUUUAAAGAGUGAAUGUUAUGGUUGUCCACCGAUUGGAAAAUGGGUAUUAUCUAGAAACUCGAAGUAGUGGACAAUUCAUUUUCGCACUUUAAAAUGUCCUAUGGGGUAAGCUUCGUCAAUCAAUUAUUUUUGGCCACUUAACUUGGAGGAAAUUUACAAAGUGAGAUUUUCAUCUUACUAUCUGGCAAAUCUAAAGUAAGACCAUUUACUUGCACAAACUAGUUACACUGAGAUAUCUGUCAAAUGGUUAGAAAGAUGCCAUCAAAUUGUAUUUGAACAAAUUCCUUAAAUCUUCUCGUAAGAGUUUGAGAGAAUCUGAGCGCAGGUAAGUCAGCUAGCAAUCCAAGGGGCAAAGAAAGGGUAAAAAGUCAGUUCCAUGCCUAUAGUCAUUCUUCUCUCUGCUCUUUCAAAAAUUCUCGUCCAUAUCAGCUUGGUUGAGGAAUUUGGGUUUCGAAAUGUAAGUAUAGACGGUUUAAAUUAUGAAUAGAUAGAAUGAGUGGUAAAUAAGUGGGCAGCACUUUUGGAUCACACGAAAUGUGUGAUAAAAAGUUAUUUGAUCGAUUAUAAAUAGAUAAUAAACAUAGGUUAAAAUUGGAACUCAAUUUGUUGAAGUUAAUAGGUCAUCCAUUUAAGUAGUCCUUUACAUCAUAUUUACCGGUUUUUAUGCUUUACUUACAUGAUAUUGAAGAUUUGUUUGACAAGGCUUCUGCUUCUUAUAGAAGAGCUUCACAAGGAAGCUAUUUUAGGCCAGCUCCCUCUAAGUUUUUCCCAUCAAGCAAAACACUUUCAGAAAAUUAUCCAAAUAGGAUUAAAAUAAGUUUUUUAGUCUUAAAAGCAGUUUUUGACUUUUUAAAAGCCCUGUCAAAUGGGCCCUAGUUUUUCCCACCUGCUAAUAUUUUUGUCAUUGAGUAGCAACGCUAAUACUGUAUUUUAUAGCUACAAGUUCUGCCCUCAUGGUUCCUAAUCCGACCACUUACUUAUUUCUAUUCACUUUUCUCUUUUGCCAGCUUUAUUUCAGAUAAUCCGCACAGCAAUGAGCGGAGGCUUGGCUUGAGUUUCGUAUUAGCAAUGAGAUUGGGUAUAUGUGGUGUUGGUUCACUUAGGUGUGACAUAGUAAUGAACAGCGGAAGUGAAAAUUCCUUGUGUAUUGAAUUUGAUGUUCAAUUUUAGGCGUCUUCCUGUGGUAGAUUGAAAUGCCAUAGUCGAUACAGUUUUGUCAAUCAUGAAUUAACUAUCUUAUUUACUAGUUUGUUGUAGAAAGUUUUAGCAAUAUACUGAUAUAACAAUCUAUACGUAUAUUUGCACUCUUCUCAAAUGUUUUUUGCUGUUUAUUGUGUGUGCAUAGUGGCUUUGCAUGGCUGGUGUUUUUCCCACUUGUGAAACAGAGCCAGUUGUGCAGAUAAACCGGAUUAACCGGGAUCUGGUUGG
Molecule: long non-coding RNA, 3625 nt
Filed under: Olea europaea subsp. europaea
Lineage: Eukaryota; Viridiplantae; Streptophyta; Magnoliopsida; Lamiales; Oleaceae
Source: RNAcentral